AAGGCUUUAAGUUAUUAAAACUAAUAUCCUUCAAAGCUAUAAAUAAAGUUAAUCUUUAAGCCUUA
This 65-nucleotide transfer RNA is filed under the name Anaplecta sp. 3 ZQW-2020. RNAcentral's name for it is "tRNA-Trp". The record is from RNAcentral. RNAcentral also lists the same sequence under 1 other name. Lineage: Eukaryota; Metazoa; Arthropoda; Insecta; Blattodea; Anaplectidae.